AAUAAGUUAUCAUUUUAAACAUAUUUAAACAAUGUAGGUAAAAUAUUCAAAUAAUGUAGUUAACCAAUUGAAAUAAUAUAGUUAACACUUUCAAAUAAUACAGUGAACACAUUUAAAUAAUAUAGUUAACACAUUUAGAUAAUUUAGUUAACACAUUUAAAUAAUUUAGUUAACACCUUGAGAUAAUGUAGUAAACACAUAUAUAUAAUAGUUAAGGCAUUUAGAUAAUUUAGAAUACAUAUUCAAAUGAGUUAAAAUAGUUAACAGUUACUUACUUAAAACGUGUUAAUUAUUAAUAUGAUCACAUACUUUUCAUACUUUGCGCCAAUUUGAACAUAUAUUAUCAUUUCAGGAUUGAUUAACUUCUACUUUUAUCGUAAGGGAGUCGAACAGGGAAAGAGUAACAACGAAAACAAAGGAGCUAUCGACCUGGUAACAGCGAUUUGUACCCAGGAAAAUUUGGCAAGUCCACAAGACAUUCCGGAAUGUGUGAGAUGUCGGCUGAUUGCAAACCCUGCGCAGUGCGUCGCACCGUGUAACCUGAUAUUAACACCCCUUUGUACAGCUUAAUCAUGAUUUUGGCGUAACUGUCUUAAUAUAUGACUACCAACAAAAUUGAUGAAACAUAUGUUUAUUUCUUUUGGAACCCACACAAAAUACUGACAUCCAAAAGUUAAUAUCCGGAAGCUCAACCUGUCAUCAACAAAAUUCAAUUGGAUUUUCUGCUAUUAUUUAUUUAGAAUAUGUUCAACCUGAUGUUAUAAAUAAAUAUCAAAUGCUUUUACAACUGUUGAUCUUAAUCAAUACAAUUGUUGUUCAUACUUUAUAAACGAAACAUUUUAACAUCACGUGAAUGCAUUAUACCUUAUCACUUACAUAUGCAUUAGACGCUGAUUAAGUAUAGCUAUAUAGCCAGAGAGACAGAGGAAACACAUAUUACUUUUUGAAGAGGCGAGCAGUUUUUAAACAGCAAAUAUAAUAAAACAACGGCCAAUGUAUACAGUUAGAGGGUUAAUUAAUUGAAUGUACAUCAAGUAUUUCAUAUCAAAAUAAACCAGAUGCUAAACAAGGUCACUGUGACCUAUAAUGUCCGCUAAUUCGAAAUGUUAUGUACCACGGGUUCCCGUCAAGCUCCAUGACUUACAAAAAUUCGUACAUGUUUAAAAUUCUUGACUUAAGAAACUUUCUGAAAAGGUAACCAGGUCAAUAGUUCGAGGAACAUGAAGUAGUCGAGUUAUCAGAGCCUAGUCCUAGACCAUUAGAGGUAUUGAUCCCACGUAUGUUACACGACACUCAAUGAAUGUCUACUUAGUUACGGCGCCGACAGGUGUGAUUUAUUACGUUUUGUAAUAACUGAAGCACAAAAGAAAGACAAUGGAAGAUUUAACAACAUUUCAUUAUUUUGAAAAAGAUAUAAGCUGUACGAAUGUGUCAUACCUUGCCAGUUACAAGAAAGGAAAUUUCAAAAUAUGACAAGGGCCUACCUUGAUAUCCGUUAUAUAAGCACGUGUCGUUCGAAUUGACGGAAGCACAACAGUAUGUGUGAUGUGUUUUACAGUAUAAAUGCUAUCCGAAUAAACCCCUUCCAAGUAUUAUUUUAUUUGCAUUUUGUGCUGUGUAGUUCUAUUUUUUUUUAGUCAUCAACGCGGGUGAAUCGACUGGUGUUACUGGCAUAGAGGAGUAAGAUAAUGUGUCUCAUACUUAUUACGAUGCUCAAAAAGAGGCGAGAUUCACAACAUUUAAAUUUAGAAUGAUUCUGGAUGUUGAAUGUCGCAAAACGAGCUACUCAAAAUUCAUGUUCUGAUUGUUUAUUAUAAAUCUGAAUAAUUCUAAAUGUUAACCCAGUGGACACAAAACGUUCGGAGAACGUCCGGAAAACGUCCUAUUAAGGUCACAACGUCCGGGACUUUCCUACAACGUUGUGAGAACGUUUCAUGUCAAACGUUAGUACAACGUUAGCUUUUGACGUUGUAACAACGUUGUAACAAGGUUUUAAUGCAAACUUUGUGUAUUUGUUGUUAAUUUUAAACGGCUUGCAAGUUUACACAAAUGCCAAAGACAUACCGAACGAAAACAUCAAAUUUCAUGAUAAAUUUAAUUAUCUGAUUGGCUCGAAAUUUUAUUUGUCAAUAAUGAAUCUGUUUAGAUUAGUUUAAAAGCAACCUACGUCGCCUAUAAUGUGUCCUAAUGAUAUAAUAUCGAUCAUUUAUCCUUUCCUGAUCCAAUUUUGCUGUUAGACCUCCUUUUAUACCAAUAAAUGUGAUCAAACUCGAACUUACGAGGUUACGAUAACAAAUCGGUGUUACCUCCCUUGAUGUUGCAAUAUAUAUCCGCCAGGGGGCAAUACAAACAUUCACAUUCAUUUAAAAAGCUUUUUUUAAACGACUUAAUUUCAGUUUUAAGUGCAUGAAAAUAUCAUGUUUUGGUUGAAACCGUUGCGAUUUUUUUUCGGGAAAAGAAAUAGAUAGAGAGAAGAAAAAAGAGUAUUGAUAUUUGCGCGGUAAUUUUAACUUCCGGUUCUUUGUUCUGCAAACACACGCUCAACACACGUGGGCCCAACACACACAUAUUUCAAUCGGACUGUUGACAUGCUGUACUGGAUUAUGUAUUUGCUUUCAAAAUAACAUAUGGAAUCAGCUUUCUUCCCGAAUACAGAUCAGUAAUUCAAGAUUAAAUGGUGAUAACUGGAUGCACCGAGGUAAUCGGAUACAUCAGUGAUGUGAGUGAUGGGAGGAGUCUAAGCACAUGGACACAUGGAAAUAAAGACAUUAAAAUACUGUUUAAAAACAA
Long non-coding RNA from Pecten maximus, 2790 nucleotides. RefSeq lists it as uncharacterized. NCBI's taxonomy places the organism in Eukaryota, Metazoa, Mollusca, Bivalvia, Pectinida, Pectinidae. The transcript has 2 exons. The record is from RefSeq and is a predicted model, not a curated record.